GCAGCUGAAGGAGAAGCUGCGGCUCUACGGGGAGCGGGAGAAGGAGCAGGACUUCUGGCUGGUGGUGGAGCCCAAGUUCCUCGACAGGUUCCCCAACAUCACCAAGCGCCUCAAGCGCCCCGCCGUCGCGCUCGUCUCCACCGACGGCAACUGGAUCACUUUUAUGAAGUUGAGGCUAGACAGGGUCUUAGCAGAACAAUUUGAAGCAGAAACGCUUGAGGAGGCAUUGGCUUCUAACCCGGUCGACUUGAAAUUUGACAAGCCUGAG
This 268-nucleotide unclassified non-coding RNA is filed under the name Hevea brasiliensis (rubber tree). Lineage: Eukaryota; Viridiplantae; Streptophyta; Magnoliopsida; Malpighiales; Euphorbiaceae. The record is from RNAcentral.